GAUGAAGAACGCAGUGAAAUGCGAUAAGUAAUGCGAAUUGCAGAAUCCGUGAGUCAUCGAAUCUUUGAACGCACAUUGCGCCCCUUGGUAUUCCGGGGGGCAUGCCUGUUCGAGCGUCAUUAUAACCCCUCAAGCUCAGCUUGGUGUUGGGGCCUGCCGACUGGCAGCCCUUAAAAUCAGUGGCGGCGCCAUCUGGCUCUAAGCGUAGUAAUUUCUCUCGCUAUAGAGUCCCGGUGGAUGCUUGCCAGCAACCCCCAACUUUCUAUGGUUGACCUCGGAUCAGGUAGGGAUACCCGCUGAACUUAAGCAUAUCAAUAAGCGGAGGA
Molecule: unclassified non-coding RNA, 326 nt
Filed under: soil metagenome
Description: partial contains 5.8S ribosomal RNA, internal transcribed spacer 2, and large subunit ribosomal RNA
Rfam family: 5.8S ribosomal RNA (bases 1-119)
Source: RNAcentral